This 540-nucleotide ribosomal RNA is filed under the name Helicodiscus barri. RNAcentral describes it as "partial large subunit ribosomal RNA". Lineage: Eukaryota; Metazoa; Mollusca; Gastropoda; Stylommatophora; Helicodiscidae. The record is from RNAcentral.
AAACAUAGUUUUGAGAUUUUUCAUUAAUUCAAAAUUUCCCCUGCCCACUGAACUUAUUUAUAUUUAAAUGGCCGCAGUACUUUGACUGUGCUAAGGUAGCAUAAUAAAUUGGCUUUUAAUUGAAGUCGAGAAUGAACGGGAUUUUAAUCAGAAUCUGUCUCAAAUAUAGAUUUAUAGAAAUUACUUAUUAGGUGAAAAUUCCUAUGAUUAUAUAUAAUAGACGAGAAGACCCUUAGAGUUUUUAUUAAUAAAGUAAUAAAUUUAAAAUAUUUAGAAGUUUCUACCUAUUGAAUACUAAUCUUUAAAUUUUUGUUGGGGCAACAAGUAAACAGAAAAAUAAAACUUUACCAAAUAGAUAUUAAGUAAUAUAUACAUGUAGCUCUAUAAGACAAAAUAAUUUUUUGAGUAAUUAAGACUACCUAAGGGAUAACAGCAUAAUUUAACAUAUAAGAUUAUGACCUCGAUGUUGGAUUAGGGCCUAGCUAGGUUAACCACUUAGAAAGAAGUGUUCUGUUCGAACAACUGUUCUCCUACAUGAUC